AGGACGAACGCUGGCGGCGUGCUUAACACAUGCAAGUCGAACGGUGACGAGAAGCUUGCUUCUCUGAUCAGUGGCGAACGGGUGAGUAACACGUGAGCAACCUACCCUUGACUCCGGGAUAACAGUUGGAAACAGCUGCUAAUACCGGAUACGACCUCGACCGACAUCAGUUGAGGUGGAAAGUUCUGGCGGUCAAGGAUGGGCUCGCGGCCUAUCAGCUAGUUGGUGAGGUAACGGCUCACCAAGGCUUCGACGGGUA
This 259-nucleotide ribosomal RNA is filed under the name uncultured bacterium. RNAcentral describes it as "partial small subunit ribosomal RNA". It matches the Rfam family "Bacterial small subunit ribosomal RNA", at positions 26 to 285 of the family's 1533-position model. The record is from RNAcentral.